Long non-coding RNA from Camelus dromedarius (Arabian camel), 505 nucleotides. RefSeq lists it as uncharacterized. The transcript has 4 exons. NCBI's taxonomy places the organism in Eukaryota, Metazoa, Chordata, Mammalia, Artiodactyla, Camelidae. The record is from RefSeq and is a predicted model, not a curated record.
GCUGCAAUACUGCAGAAGAAAGUGACCUUGGGAAGGAAGAGUGGUCUAGGUAUAAAGCAACAUCAUUGAGCGCUUAGCCUGACGCCUCUUGAAGCAGAUUUGAAACAAAAAUUAUGUAAAUGAGAACCCUACUGAGAGCCAGGUUCUAACGUUUAGACGGAGAAGGGUCUUAAGAUAGCAGUUGGGUUAGAAGAAGAAUGAAGAGAACUCACUGGAAGCCGUGAUUAUUCCUUCAGCGAGUGGGAAAAAAAAGGCUGCUGUGAAACAGCGAAACGGUGAACAAUUCGGACAUCACGAAGCAGAGCAAAUCCCGUUUGAAUCUGGUCUGUGAUCUAAUGAGUGACAGCCCGACAAAGUGAGAAUUCAGGCAACAAAUGAUGCAUCAGGUGGAGUCCUAGGUUGUAAAUGAAAUAAGCCACCUCUGGCUAACUUAAGCAGGAAGGGAAGGUGUCAGAAUGAUAUUCCAUUGCUCACAAACCAACGUGAAGCCCAAAGAGCCGGACCU